GCAAGAACUGGUCGGGCUCGCUAAUAAGGAUUGGGUUUCCAGGGGUACCACUGGUCGUUCCGACGCGCAGUCUACGGAGGAGGGCAUGGAUUUUUGCCCAUCUUAGGUAUCUGUAAUGUCAUGAGUCUCAGAUUGAUUCAGAUCAACUUCCACCACUCCCGAGCCGCUUCCGCUCUUGGGGGUUAUAAUGACCUUGCUCUUUUCAAGAGUCAUGGCACUAUAAGGGCCGAAUACGGGGUUUCACUGCAAUUUGAGGGUAAGUUGUUUUCUUUUACGUCUUGUACUUCUGAUAGUAAUCUCCGGACUUGUGUUUUCAUUAGGAAUAACAUAUGUGUUUCACC
Molecule: long non-coding RNA, 341 nt
Filed under: Androctonus crassicauda
Lineage: Eukaryota; Metazoa; Arthropoda; Arachnida; Scorpiones; Buthidae
Source: RNAcentral